RNAcentral lists this ribosomal RNA (468 nucleotides) under uncultured bacterium. RNAcentral's name for it is "partial 16S ribosomal RNA". It matches the Rfam family "Bacterial small subunit ribosomal RNA", at positions 28 to 507 of the family's 1533-position model. The record is from RNAcentral.
GACGAACGCUGGCGGCGUGCUUAACACAUGCAAGUCGAACGGUGAAGCUCCAGCUUGCUGGAGUGGAUCAGUGGCGAACGGGUGAGUAACACGUGAGCAACCUGCCCCUGACUCUGGAAUAAGCGCUGGAAACGGCGUCUAAUACUGGAUACGAGAAGGGUCCGCAUGGGCACUUUCUGGAAAGUUUUUCGGUUGGGGAUGGGCUCGCGGCCUAUCAGCUUGUUGGUGAGGUAAUGGCUCACCAAGGCGACGACGGGUAGCCGGCCUGAGAGGGCGACCGGCCACACUGGGACUGAGACACGGCCCAGACUCCUACGGGAGGCAGCAGUGGGGAAUAUUGCACAAUGGGCGAAAGCCUGAUGCAGCGACGCCGCGUGAGGGAUGACGGCCUUCGGGUUGUAAACCUCUUUCAGCAGGGAAGCAGCGAAAGUGACGGUACCUGCAGAAGAAGCACCGGCUAACUACGUG